RNAcentral lists this ribosomal RNA (213 nucleotides) under Hyphodiscus sp. RNAcentral describes it as "partial large subunit ribosomal RNA". The record is from RNAcentral. Lineage: Eukaryota; Fungi; Ascomycota; Leotiomycetes; Helotiales; Hyphodiscaceae.
AAGCGCUUGCAACCAGACUUGCAUGCGGUUGAUCAUCCGGUGUUCUCACCGGUGCACUUGACCGUGUACAGGCCAGCAUCGGUUCAGGUGGCGGGAUAAAGGCCUUGGGAAUGUAGCUUCUUUCGGGGAGUGUUAUAGCCCUCGGUGCAAUGCCGCCUACCUAGACCGAGGACCGCGCUUCGGCUAGGAUGCUGGCGUAAUGGUUGUAAGCGA